Molecule: ribosomal RNA, 492 nt
Filed under: uncultured bacterium
Lineage: Bacteria
Description: partial 16S ribosomal RNA
Rfam family: Bacterial small subunit ribosomal RNA
Source: RNAcentral
AGUGAACGCUGGCGGUAGGCCUAACACAUGCAAGUCGAACGGCAGCACAGUAAGAGCUUGCUCUUACGGGUGGCGAGUGGCGGGCGGGUGAGGAAUACAUCAGACUCUACUUUUUCGUGGGGGAUCACGUAGGGACACUUACGCUAAUACCGCAUACGACCUACGGGUGAAAGCAGGGGAUCUUCGGACCUUGCGCGAUUGAAUGAGCCGAUGUCGGAUUAGCUAGUUGGCGGGGUAAAGGCACACCAAGGCGACGAUCCGUAGCUGGUCUGAGAGGAUGAUCAGCCACACUGGAACUGAGACACGGUCCAGACUCCUACGGGAGGCAGCAGUGGGGAAUAUUGGACAAUGGGCGCAAGCCUGAUCCAGCCAUACCGCGUGGAUGAAGAAGGCCUUCGGGUUGUAAAGCCCUUUUGUUGGGAAAGAAAAGCAGCAGGUUAAUACCCCUCUGUUCUGACGUUACCCAAAGAAGAAGCACCGGCUAACUUCGUG